AGCUCCGUCAGUGUAUAUCUAUGCUGCUGCGGUUAAAAAGCUCGUAGUUGGAUCUGCGUGUGCGGUAUGGUGGUUCACCCUUGUGGUGCAUACUGUCAACCCACACUGAAUAGUCAGUUCUCUCCUGAUGCUCUUAACCGGGUGUCUUGAGUGGCUGACGAGCUUACUUUGAAAAAAUUAGAGUGCUCAAAACAAGCGCUUAGCUUGAAUACUGGUGCAUGGAAUAAUAGAAUAGGACCUUGGUUCUAUUUUGUUGGUUUUCGGAACACGAGGUAAUGAUUAAGAGGGACAGACGGGGGCAUUCGUAUUGCGACGCUAGAGGUGAAAUUCUUGGAUCGUCGCAAGACGGACUACUGCGAAGGCAUUUGCCAAGAAUGUUUUCAUUA
Molecule: ribosomal RNA, 386 nt
Filed under: Theristus sp.
Lineage: Eukaryota; Metazoa; Nematoda; Chromadorea; Monhysterida; Xyalidae
Description: partial small subunit ribosomal RNA
Rfam family: Eukaryotic small subunit ribosomal RNA
Source: RNAcentral